This 1036-nucleotide long non-coding RNA is filed under the name Sus scrofa (pig). RNAcentral describes it as "lncRNA (ENSSSCG00040019608.1)". Lineage: Eukaryota; Metazoa; Chordata; Mammalia; Artiodactyla; Suidae. The record is from RNAcentral.
GAGCCUGCGGGCGGCGGAGCGGAGGGCGCGGCGGGCGGAGUUAGUUGGUAGGCUCCGGCUCUCUGGGCGGGGAAAGGCCGAGCACGCGGCGGCCUCGGCGGAGGGGGCUCUCUCCUGGAGCGCGCGGGGCCCAACCCCGUCCGCAGUUCGCCCUCGGAUAAGGGGUUCAGCUCCCAGUCCCUCCCCGCGGGGCGGCUCCGCUGUUGCCGGCCGCCCCCGAGCCCGCCCCGUGCUCGCGCCUCCGCUCCGCCCCUGUCUCCUCGGGCGCGGGGGCCGCGGGGGUUGGGAAGGAGGUCCCCGCAGAGUCAGCUCCCGGUCGCGCGCAGCUUCCCGAGGUUUCUCUGCGGGAUUCGCUGUCCUGGGUGUUUGGACUCACGUGUGGGCAGAGAAUGAGGGACACUUCCAAAGGUACUUGAUGGCAAACUUCUCUCACACCCUCAAUGUCUUGGUGGGCGUGGCUACAGCUUCAGCUGUGCUGACCGAGAGCCAGUGUGCCUGAGGAAGCUACCACCAAGCCUGGAUGUCAGACGUUACAGCCUCAGCACGUCCUACCCUGUGUGCAGUCCAGCCACUGAGUGCACAAGCAUAAUGUGUAUUCAUGGAGUGAAGCCAAACACGCCCACCAUUUCGCAGAGAAAACGUGAAUAUGAAGUUUCCUUUGAAAACAAAGGGAUCGCCACACUCUGAUCAGCUCUGGGGUGUACAGAAGAACAAGACUGGAACUGGCAUUCUAAGGACAUAAAUUAUCAUUUAAAUGAGGCUAGACUCUUAUGAAAUUUAUGCAUCAGACCUCAAGAUAUGAAAAGUGCAAUAAGAGGUAGUUAGGCCAAGUCCAACUUCCUUGAUGUAAUGCAAAUGUGAAACCUUUCUCUCUUUCUUUUCUUGGGCAAACUCCCACUCUCCCCUCUUUCACUGCAUGAUGCACACAUAAAUAAAUUACCAAAAUAUUUUUCAGAAAGCUCUGCCAGGUUAAGUGCACAGAGCCUUCUCAAGUACUUCAAAUUACUUUCUCUUGUCGCACUUUAAAAUAGACUUG